RNAcentral lists this ribosomal RNA (914 nucleotides) under uncultured archaeon. Its description in RNAcentral is "bacterial SSU rRNA". It matches the Rfam family "Archaeal small subunit ribosomal RNA", at positions 1 to 922 of the family's 1478-position model. The record is from RNAcentral.
UUCCGGUUGAUCCUGCCGGACCUGACUGCUAUCGGAUUGAUACUAAGCCAUGCGAGUCAUUGUAGCAAUACAAGGCAUACGGCUCAGUAACGCGUAGUCAACCUAACCUAUGGACGGAAAUAACCUCGGGAAACUGAGAAUAAUGUCCGAUAGAACACUAUACCUGGAAUGGUUUGUGUUCCAAAUGAUUUAUCGCCGUAGGAUGGGACUGCGGCCUAUCAGUUUGUUGGUGAGGUAAUGGCCCACCAAGACUAUUACAGGUACGGGCUCUGAGAGGAGUAGCCCGGAGAUGGGUACUGAGACACGGACCCAGGCCCUAUGGGGCGCAGCAGGCGAGAAAACUUUGCAAUGUGCGAAAGCACGACAAGGUUAAUCCGAGUGAUUUGUGCUAAACGAAUCUUUUGUUAGUCUUAGAACCACUAACGAAUAAGGGGUGGGCAAGUUCUGGUGUCAGCCGCCGCGGUAAAACCAGCACCUCAAGUGGUCAGGAUGAUUAUUGGGCCUAAAGCAUCCGUAGCCGGCUCUGUAAGUUUUCGGUUAAAUCUGUACGCUCAACGUACAGGCUGCCGGGAAUACUGCAGAGCUAGGGAGUGGGAGAGGUAGACGGUACUCGGAAGGAAGGGGUAAAAUCCUUUGAUCUUUUGAUGACCACCUGUGGCGAAGGCGGUCUACCAGAACACGUCCGACGGUGAGGGAUGAAAGCUGGGGGAGCAAACCGGAUUAGAUACCCGGGUAGUCCCAGCUGUAAACUAUGCAAACUCAGUGAUGCAUUGACUUGUGGUCAAUGCAGUGCUGCAGGGAAGCCGUUAAGUUUGCCGCCUGGGAAGUACGUACGCAAGUAUGAAACUUAAAGGAAUUGGCGGGGGAGCACCACAAGGGGUGAAGCCUGCGGUUCAAUUGGAGUCAACGCCGGG